UACGUAGGGACCAAGCGUUGUUCGGAUUUACUGGGCGUAAAGGGCGCGUAGGCGGCGUGUUAAGUCAGCUGUGAAAUCUCCAAGCUUAACUUGGAACGGUCAGCUGAUACUGAUGUGCUAGAGUGCAGAAGGGGCAACCGGAAUUCUUGGUGUAGCGGUGAAAUGCGUAGAUAUCAAGAGGAACACCUGCGGCGAAGGCGGGUUGCUGGGCCGACACUGACGCUGAUGCGCGAAAGCCAGGGGAGCGAACGGG
RNAcentral lists this ribosomal RNA (253 nucleotides) under uncultured bacterium. RNAcentral's name for it is "partial 16S ribosomal RNA". It matches the Rfam family "Bacterial small subunit ribosomal RNA", at positions 524 to 776 of the family's 1533-position model. The record is from RNAcentral.